Molecule: ribosomal RNA, 506 nt
Filed under: uncultured Glomeromycotina
Lineage: Eukaryota; Fungi; Glomeromycota
Description: SSU rRNA
Rfam family: Eukaryotic small subunit ribosomal RNA
Source: RNAcentral
AGCAGCCGCGGUAAUUCCAGCUCCAAUAGCGUAUAUUAAAGUUGUUGCAGUUAAAAAGCUCGUAGUUGAAUUUCGGGAUCGAAUUGUUGGUCGUGCUUCGGUACGUACUGGCAUUAUUGGUUCCUACCUUCUGAAGAACCGCGAUGUCAUUAAUUUGGUGUCGUGGGGAAUCAGGACUGUUACUUUGAAAAAAUUAGAGUGUUUAAAGCAGGCGCACGCUUGAAUACAUUAGCAUGGAAUAAUGAAAUAGGACGUUUGAUUCUAUUUUGUUGGUUUCUAGGAUCGACGUAAUGAUUAAUAGGGAUAGUUGGGGGCAUUAGUAUUCAAUUGUCAGAGGUGAAAUUCUUGGAUUUAUUGAAGACUAACUACUGCGAAAGCAUUUGCCAAGGAUGUUUUCAUUAAUCAAGCACGAAAGUUAGGGGAUCGAAGACGAUCAGAUACCGUCGUAGUCUUAACCAUAAACUAUGCCGACUAGGGAUCGGAUGAUGUUAAUUUUUUAAUGACUC